RNAcentral lists this long non-coding RNA (239 nucleotides) under Manacus vitellinus (golden-collared manakin). Its description in RNAcentral is "lncRNA (ENSMVIG00005016569.1)". The record is from RNAcentral. Lineage: Eukaryota; Metazoa; Chordata; Aves; Passeriformes; Pipridae.
GCUUCUUGAAAUGUCUUAGUACAUAAUUACUCUUAAAAAUAAAUAACUUUUUUUCCCCAUGUAGGGUGGACAAAGACAGCAAAGCAGCAGCAGCAGCAGCACUUAUAUCACGGGUUCCCAAGGCAGCCAGUCCUAUGGCCAGGGCUACCAGCCUCAAGGUGGCAGUUCCUAUGGACAGGUAAUUGUCAGUCAGAAUACAGCCUUUGAGAAAGUGGAGUGCCAUGGCCCUGCAAAAUUUG